AAUUAUAUUAUAAUAGUUGCCGUUAACGCUUUGAAUCUGCCGCCAGCAUGGUACAGUCGCAAGGCCGACACGCAAACGACGAGACCGUCUGUGGUAUUAAUCGGGUGCGGGGCAUGCUGUUUAAUCCGUCAAUACGCGUAAAAUCUUACCAUGUCUUGAAUAUUAAUUAAUUGACUAAUCUUUGUUAAAUUAUUACAGGUGUUGCAUGGCUGUCGUCAGCUAGUGCCAGUAAGGCGUAAGGUUUGGUCCAUUUAACUAGCGCAAACCUCACUAUAUUUUUUAUAGACCUGAUUUUAUGCAGAUUUGGUAUUCGAGGAGUA
RNAcentral lists this ribosomal RNA (320 nucleotides) under Biatoropsis usnearum. RNAcentral describes it as "partial small subunit ribosomal RNA". It matches the Rfam family "Bacterial small subunit ribosomal RNA", at positions 828 to 1159 of the family's 1533-position model. Lineage: Eukaryota; Fungi; Basidiomycota; Tremellomycetes; Tremellales; Tremellaceae. The record is from RNAcentral.